GUAAAGGGCGCGUAGGCGGCCGAUUAAGUCGGGGGUGAAAGCCUGUGGCUCAACCACAGAAUUGCCUUCGAUACUGGUUGGCUUGAGACCGGAAGAGGACAGCGGAACUGCGAGUGUAGAGGUGAAAUUCGUAGAUAUUCGCAAGAACACCAGUGGCGAAGGCGGGUCUCUGGGCAGUAACUGACGCUGAGGAGCGAAAGCGUGGGGAGCGAACAGGAUUAGAUACCCUGGUAGUCCACGCCGUAAACGGUGGGUACUAGGUGUGGGUUUCCUUCCUUGGGAUCCGUGCCGUAGCUAACGCAUUAAGUACCCCGCCUGGGGAGUACGGCCGCAAGGCUAAAACUCAAAGAAAUUGACGGGGGCCCGCACAAGCGGCGGAGCAUGUGGAUUAAUUCGAUGCAACGCGAAGAACCUUACCUGGGUUUGACAUGCACAGGACGCCGGCAGAGAUGUCGGUUCCCUUGUGGCCUGUGUGCAGGUGGUGCAUGGCUGUCGUCAGCUCGUGUCGUGAGAUGUUGGGCUAAGUCCCGCAACGAGCGCAACCCUUGUCUCAUGUUGCCAGCGGGUAAUGCCGGGGACUCGUGAGAGACUGCCGGGGUCAACUCGGAGGAAGGUGGGGAUGACGUCAAGUCAUCAUGCCCCUUAUGUCCAGGGCUUCACACAUGCUACAAUGGCCGGUACAAAGGGCUGCGAUGCCGCGAGGUUAAGCGAAUCCUUUUAAAGCCGGUCUCAGUUCGGAUCGGGGUCUGCAACUCGACCCCGUGAAGUCGGA
RNAcentral lists this ribosomal RNA (772 nucleotides) under uncultured Mycobacterium sp. RNAcentral describes it as "bacterial SSU rRNA". It matches the Rfam family "Bacterial small subunit ribosomal RNA", at positions 560 to 1330 of the family's 1533-position model. Lineage: Bacteria; Bacillati; Actinomycetota; Actinomycetes; Mycobacteriales; Mycobacteriaceae. The record is from RNAcentral.